Molecule: small RNA, 661 nt
Filed under: Pan troglodytes (chimpanzee)
Lineage: Eukaryota; Metazoa; Chordata; Mammalia; Primates; Hominidae
Description: processed transcript
Source: RNAcentral
GAGGCAGAAGCAGCAGGAAGCUGAAGAGUUGGAAGCUGACAUCAGAGAAGAGAAAGCUUCCUGGAAGACUCAAAUACAGUAUGACAAAACCAACGUCUUGGCAGAUUUUGAGCAACUGAGAGACAUCCUGGACUGGGAGGAGAGCAAUGAGCUGCAAAACCUGGAGAAGGAGGAGGAAGACAUUCUGAAAAGCCUUACGAAGUCUGAAACUGAGAUGGUGCAGCAGACCCAGUCCGUGAGAGAGCUCAUCUCAGAUCUGGAGCGUCGGCUGCAGGGGUCAGUGAUGGAGCUGCUUCAGGAUGGAGAACGUGACCUUGAAGAAGCCAGAAACUUUUCCAAAAAAUCAAAGGAGAGUGUUUCGAGCUCCUGAUCUGAAAGGAAUGCUAGAAGUGUUUAGAGAGCUGACAGAUGUCCGACGCUACUGGGGUAAGGAGAAGUCACAUUAUCAUAAGCCACCCUGCGGCUUAUCAUUAUUAUUAUCUUUAUCUUUUAGAAUUUUAUGUUCUCUAUUAGGCUCAUGUUUUAAGAUUUAUGAUUCUCCUUCCAAGACACACAUAACUUACCCCUCCUUAUAACUUCUAAACAAGGUUCCUCCCAGUUUUCUCUCAAGUCUUCAUCAAGAUUUCUCUCAUAUCACAAAUAAAGUACAUUAUAUCCCUUA